RNAcentral lists this non-coding RNA (24 nucleotides) under Arabidopsis thaliana (thale cress). The record is from RNAcentral. Lineage: Eukaryota; Viridiplantae; Streptophyta; Magnoliopsida; Brassicales; Brassicaceae.
UGAUAUACUCCUCCACUGUAACCU